Molecule: long non-coding RNA, 1012 nt
Filed under: Sus scrofa (pig)
Lineage: Eukaryota; Metazoa; Chordata; Mammalia; Artiodactyla; Suidae
Description: lncRNA (ENSSSCG00050067710.1)
Source: RNAcentral
UUACUCCAUCAGAUUUAAUAAGUUUGGAUGCUUUCCAAGUACGAGGCAUUAAUCACACUUAUACCCAGGCCUCAACAGUUCAUCCACCCGGUAGAUUCGUGUCAGAGACAUAAAACAAUCUGCUCUAAUGCACACAGUUCCCUUUAAACCGGGCGCUCGCUUUGUGUUGGUAAAACUUGCUUUGUAUCCAGGGGCUGGGAUGAGAAAGGGGGCGGGGAUUUUUGUGUCGUGUGAAGCGACUCACGGCUGAAUUUCCCCUUCCUUUGCGGAUUUAUCCAUCCAUCCACCCACCCAUCCACCCUUCCAUCCCUCCAUCUCUUGUCUGUCUCUCAUCGAUCUGUCAAUCAUCCGUCUAUCAUCCCUCUGUCUCCUCUCUGUGUAACUGAGCUCAGCACAAGGAGGCAUGAGAGCGCCUUCGCUGUGUGCAGGGUGAGUUUACCUCACGGAGAUGGAGUGCCGUGUGGUCUUCCGAUCUCCCCAGGCAGGCCUUGCUUCCUCUCUCUCUCCUCCGGCCCCUGCAGUCAGGGUCGCAGUUGUUCUGACACCCCCCAGCUAAAGUGCCUGCGUCCCCGGGCGGACACCACGUCCUCCCUUAUCCUCACCCCACCGCAUCCCUGCCGCCCGCCCAGCCCCGCGGGGCCACCUGCUCUGAGAGACUCGGAUGGGCAGCUGCCUGUCCCUUUUCAUGUCCUGAGUCCUUUUUCCUACAACACGUACAAGUGUCUCCAGGCUCAGCUCUCACUCAGCUGCGUCCUGCUGUCCCCCCACAGGCGCUCGGGCUGAUUCCGGGGCGCCUCCUCCCUCCUCAGCCUUGCGGCUACCUGUCCACUUUGGGGGCUCGGUCCCUCAGCCCUCACCGCCCGUCACGAUGUGGCUUUGUGACUUGGAAACACAUACUCCUUAAGACAGAUUCGAGAGCACAAAGCUGGGUGGGCCCCUCGCGCACCACACCCACACGUCUGCAGCCGGUGACGCUGCCCCGUCGAGAGCGGGGGUCUGAAGCAGCAGCUGU